CUCCGGCCCCAGGUCACCGCCAGCACGCGCCUGCUUCCCGUCUGCGCGAGUCCACGCAGCUCCCCAGGCCCUUCACCAGCACAGCAGCAGCAGGCAUGGCAGCAAGCGUGGAGCAGCGCGAGGGCACCAUCCAGGUGCAGGGCCAGGCCCUCUUCUUCCGAGAGGCCCUGCCCGGCAGUGGGCAGGCUCGCUUCUCUGUACUGCUGCUGCAUGGUAUUCGCUUCUCCUCCGAGACCUGGCAGAACCUGGGUACACUGCACAGGCUGGCCCAGGCUGGCUACCGGGCUGUGGCCAUUGACCUGCCAGGCCAUUUCCAGCACAUAGAAGAGAGAUUGGAAACCAACGUGCAGAACUGCCAGUCCCCUGACACGCUGUGCCCCACCCACUGCAGCCCAGUGCUGAAUGAACCCUGCCCAGAGGUGUCUGUAGUGAGCUUCUGCCCUAGUGACUUUUGAGCCGGCCAGGUUGCAGCGCGGACACACUCGCAGGUCGCUGUGGCCCCAGCCUCGCCUGACAGAAUGAGCGGCUCGGACGGGGGACUGGAGGA
Long non-coding RNA from Homo sapiens (human), 547 nucleotides. NCBI's taxonomy places the organism in Eukaryota, Metazoa, Chordata, Mammalia, Primates, Hominidae. The record is from Ensembl.